CUGGUAACUGCACAGAAACGGCAGUUUGAAGAUUCGCUGCAGCAGCAUAUUUGAGAGUAUAGCCACAGUUGCCAUUGUUGUAGAACUUGGCCCUAUUCAGCUGAAGAACUCGACCUUCUGACUGGUAGUUCAAAGCAACUGUUUGUCAUUGCCCAGUGGCUGCAUACCCAGAUGACAUCCAGCGUUCCAGAAGGGCUGAGGGUUGAAGUUGCUCGAAUCCACACGGUAUGAUGAGGGGUAGACGCGCGACAGCUGCCGCUGGUUGAAGCGCACAAACUGUGCUGGCUUCUGCUGGAUCAGCUGCGCGUCCAAUGCCGAUUCCCGCUCUGAUUGAGGAGAACGAAGCUAACCCAUGCAUUUUGUCACCCCCACUUUGCCGAGUGUAAUGCAGAUCAGCACUGUGAACGGAGAGACACACCCUGACAGCACUCUUAUCCCAUCUCUGUACAGGCGCCAUCAAUCAGCCAGCAGAGGUCAUAAUUGCAUUAGUUAUGAGAGAGACCCUAUCCGUCUUUAAUAUCCCACCCCUAUCCGAACAACAGGCCAAUUGUUGUUUGUGUGACCGCUCAGCCUCAGUCGGCAAGGCAGAGCUGAGGUUCGAUACAAUGUAUUCGAGAUCCAGCUAUGGUUGCAGCAUGUUUUUACCGCUGCGCCACCUGAGCGGCCAUAACAUCGGUUCAUUGUUAAAGUAUUUGAAGUGUGACAUUGUAUCAAAUUGUUGUUCUUGUUAGCAUAUGACUAUUAAACUGUAUUUUUUCAAAAAUGAGUGACCAUGAAGUUUGUGAACCUGGUUGCAGUGCCAGAAGUGACACGCCUCCCCCCCAAAAGGCGAAACUUUCAACAACCAGUGGUUAUCAGACCCAUAUUUAAAAGACUGGA
This is a long non-coding RNA of Trichomycterus rosablanca, 879 nucleotides long. RefSeq lists it as uncharacterized. The transcript has 4 exons. The record is from RefSeq and is a predicted model, not a curated record. NCBI's taxonomy places the organism in Eukaryota, Metazoa, Chordata, Actinopteri, Siluriformes, Trichomycteridae.